Molecule: ribosomal RNA, 429 nt
Filed under: Neoscytalidium dimidiatum
Lineage: Eukaryota; Fungi; Ascomycota; Dothideomycetes; Botryosphaeriales; Botryosphaeriaceae
Description: eukaryotic LSU rRNA
Rfam family: 5.8S ribosomal RNA (bases 97-250)
Source: RNAcentral
GGCCGCCCUCCGUCCGGGGGGUGGCCAGCGCCCGCCAGAGGACCAUCAAACUCCGGUCAGUGAACGUUGCCGUCUGAAAAACAAUCAAUAAACUAAAACUUUCAACAACGGAUCUCUUGGUUCUGGCAUCGAUGAAGAACGCAGCGAAAUGCGAUAAGUAAUGUGAAUUGCAGAAUUCAGUGAAUCAUCGAAUCUUUGAACGCACAUUGCGCCCCUCGGUAUUCCGAGGGGCAUGCCUGUUCGAGCGUCAUUACAACCCUCAAGCUCUGCUUGGUGUUGGGCACCGCCCUUCCGCGGGCGCGCCUCAAAGACCUCGGCGGUGGCGUCUUGCCUCGAGCGUAGUAGAAAACACCUCGCUUUGGAGCGCACGGCGCCGCCCGCCGGACGAACCUUUUGAACUUUCUCAAGGUUGACCUCGGAUCAGGUAGG